UCUCUAUGAUAACCCUGAACCUAAAAACUCAACACAAGAAGUCUCGACUCAGGAGAAAUUUAGAAAAUGUCUCAUAGGAAUUCUAAGCAAGGAAUGGGCAAUAUCUUUAAUUUAUCUCAGUGAGGAGUAAUUGUUCACCCUGUUGCCAUAAAGUCACUGACAACGGACAUGUGGGAUUGUUACUUCCUAAGAUCCUUAAGUAACUUGAGCCUGUGGUCCUGCUCUACCACAAUGCAGUACUACAUCAUGUUAUUAGUUCUGAGAUUCUUAAAAAAGGGCCAAAUCAGUGCAUCUAAUACACAAAAAAACCUGUGUUAAUGCCAGUGGUAAAGUGAAGUGAAAGGGGUGGGAGGUUACUACUUUAUUACAGGGGUCAGUAAGUGGCCUCUUCAAAUACAAAUGACCUAUAAUGUUUCAAAGUUAUUCAUUCCAAAAAAUUAAAUGCAGCUGAUUUCUCCUCUUUAAGAGGGUGUCAUGUACCCACACAGAUCACCAUUUCCCUGUGUCCAACAUACUAUUUGGGAACAGCCUCUAACCCUCAUCAGAGCCAGAGCAAGUGCCCUCCACCUGUCCAUCUUUUAAUGCAGAUGUUUAUUCACUAGGUAAUCACUCGAAGGAUUCGUCAGAUCAAGCAGCUGAAAAAAGGCCUUAAAGACAGGGGAGUUAUGCAACUCCUCAAGGACAGACCAGAGACUGUUUCCAUUUUUUUCCCCCGUUCCUUGAGCUUGGUGGGCAUACUCGAGAUGAUUCUUGAAAGAAUCAUUUUGCUUUCAAAUGAUUCCUCUGACCGUGAGCAGGAGUGCAACAUGGAAAAGCAGUGCUCCACUCUCGCAUUUUUCCGGCAGUAUGUGGAAAAUGCCAGUUCGGAGAACUUGAAAGACCUCCUCAAGUUCCUACAAAUUCCUGGACAUCAUACAGCCUACAAGGACUUCAAACAAGCUCUUGAAGCAGCUAUUUGUGCAGCCAACAUUGGAUUUGGGUUUAUCUAGCUACUCAAGGGACAGUUGCAAGGACUGUUAUUUGUCCUCUUUAUGCAGCAGUGCUACAUGUUCAUUUUCACUCAGUACAUUAACAUGAACUUGGCUACAUGUACAGUUACUAUUACAAUGUUGGCCAUUAAAUUGCAGGGACAGAACAAAUGAUUUGGUAUAGUUUUUAGCAAUGUGUCAGCAAGACCAUUGGCUUUGACACAUAGAAGAGGUGUUUCUGUUUUUGAAAUUGAUUGUGGUUCUUAACAUUCCAGGUGCUUGUUAUAGUUUCCUUUGGGUGUUACUGAGGAUACUAAAAAAAAUAUUGUUUGCAAAGCACUGUUAAUGUGUUGCUUAUGUAGAGUGCUAAUGAUUUGCUAAUGAUGAUGUGCUAAUGAUAGUUGUAACAAUACAUUUAGGACUGAUGAGGCAUAAUCCAAACUCAUUUAUCCUGUUCUGUGCAUAAGUUUAACAAGAGGUCACCAGUACAAAACUAAUACCAGGAGCAGACACUGAAGUGCCAAGUGUCUGCAGGUUAUUAUUUCAAGCAAAACCUGCACCAGGUAAAUUCUCCUAUCGGUUCCUUCUCCAUAGCGCAAGCUUUGUUAAUAAGUAUAAUCACUUGUUAUAGAAUCUGAUUGAAAGAAAAACCUGCCAACUCUUUGACACUCCAUGGCACAAGGUUAACUACACAUAGUUAAAGAUUGACUUUUUUUUUAUGAUGGAAAUUCAGUCAUGUCUGUGAAUUGGUUGCUGAUGCACCUCAUUGCUGCAAUGUGGAAUAUGGUGGACUUUUUUAUUGCCUUGAAUGUUGUUUUAGCUCAGUUAAACUCUCCUGAGCACGUUGAUAUAAAAAUGUUGGAGCUGGAGUCUUCCUGUAACAUAAAUUCACGGCAUUAUUGUAGAAUUAUUAAGCCCCAUCAUUCACUGUUUUUUAAAUUGAUCACAGUGAUGAGUGAUGGCUAGUCAGUUGAAUACACUAAAGUGCUCCCCCACCUGAUCCUCUUGCAUUUAUAAUUCUAAAGAAAAAAAGCUCAGAAAAAUCCUCACAGCUUGCUUGUGAGACUUUGAUAUUGAAAGUUGAGCGACGUGACUAUGGUGUUUGUCUAUUGUGAAACUGUGGAUGUAUUGUCCAGAUUAUUGCAAGCAGAACCAGGGUAUGUCCAAGAUCCAGCUAAGCCACGGUAAUUCAGCCUUGCAGAGUCCAACAGGCCAGAAUGGACCUUUUCUUUGACAAACUACUCUCCGGUUCUAAGUUAAUCACUCAGCAAAUUGAUUAAUUAAUCGGCCUCUCCUGUAGUAUUUGUGUAUUAGUUGAUGCUUGUUGGUGAUAUUUCCACAAUCUAUUUUUGUCUCAGAUCAAUAUACUAUACUAUAAUAUUGCGAGAUAUAUUCCUGAGAGAAACAUUUGGACUUCUUUUCUGUUUGGGUUCUUUCUGGCAAUGAUUAAGAUCAAAUGAUAAAUCAUUCUCUUGAUUAUUAUUUUUGUUUCUUUUAACAUCUGGUUUAGUUUCCACUGCCUGUAAAUUUAGCAUCCUUUUUUUUUUAAGAUUUAGGUAAGCUUACAUUUUAUUCAUGCCGUGCUUUUUUUCCUUCAUUUUUGGCUCAAUCUUCUGCCGCUUGUUCAGCAGUUUUAUAAGAGUUUUUUUUUAGUUUUAUAUGAUCAAGACAGUCUUCGAGCACACCACCACCUCUUUUUUACAAGUUUUAUAAGAUUGUUUUAAAGAGUGUUAUAAUAUUGUAUUGGACACUAUAUGGACAUAAUUCACCUGUUCCUGUUGGUAGUGGGUGCAUGGAAGGUUGUGUGAUGUGUACUCGCACACUUCAAGGCAUCUGUGGGCAGCCAUCACAACAGCAGGGCCAGCUUGUUUUUAAGCGGAAGUUGUAUCACCGCCAUGUUAUGUUUUUGUGUAGAAAUUGCACACAGAAGUGUAGUCAGAAAGAGAAGCUGGUCGUCUCUUAUUUCAACAACUGCCACAAUAUCACUGCUUAUACUGUUACGUAUACCUAUUUCCACUUUUAUUCAAAUACAAAUAAUUUUGCUGCCUCAACAAAUUAACAGUUAGAUUUUUACAAAAACAACAGAAGAAAUGACUAACUCUACAUAAUCAUAACUGAAUUACAGUAAUAGCAGUUAACAAAAAACCUGUGGCUGUAAAUUGGCAGCCAAAUGAGCUGUCAUAUCUUUCUAAUCUUCUAAUAUCUUUCUAAUUUCAGCAGAUCUGCCAAAGUAGAAGCAAAUAACAUAAAGCACAACAAAUGUGUACUGUUGUUGUACAGUCAUGUAAAGUCUGUUCAUCUUUACUGGUUAAGAUAAGAUUACACUUUAUUGAUCCCCAAGGGGAAAUUCAGGUGCCACAGCAGCAAUUACAGGGACUACAAGCAAAAUACGAUAAGAAAAAUAAAACAAGGUAAUUAUAGAUCAUAUAAAAAUAUAAAAAACUGUAUGAGAUAAAAUAAUAUACAAGAUUCAAUAUAGUGUCAGUGUGACUGAGAGAGACAAAAAGUCCUGAGUCUGGUGGUUGUCCAUUGAUCCAGUGGGUACAGAAUCCGCUGUGUAUCUAACAUCCAGCUUGUGCUGUGACCCAGUGAGCACUUCUGGAAACACUGUGGCAGACUGCUGAUCCAAAGCUGUGACACCAAAUGGUCCUUCACUGUGAUGUUCAGGUGAAACAUCUCUGUCUGCAGGGAGGAGGGCAGUGCAACAGAAAAAUAGUGGAGCUUGUGUUAACCUCAUACACUGCACUGCUUCAACAGUCUAACCCUGUAUUAAAUCAGGCCUAUUACAUUUUUAGACUAGAGUGUAUUGGGUAAUGUCCGUGUCCUAUACAGAUAUGGAGUUACCCAAAACUUUCACCUGCCUUUAUAAUUGUGUAUUCAGUGAAGUGACCUAUAAACGUAAUUUGAUUUGAUACAUGAUAAUUCAAUACUUAGAGGUUAUGAUGAUACUCAGAUGACAAAAUGUGCAAGCUUUUCUAAAUCAGGAGGGUUAGAUAUUAUAUUUGGAUACUGAAAUAUGGCAUAGUGGAAACAGUUAAACAGUCCCAUCUAUGGUUUCUUCCUCGUGUUUGACUUCAGGUGAGUAGUAACACAACACUGAACUGCAGUUUUAGCUGUGGUUGUUAAGACUUUCCACAGAAGAUAGAUUAUGUCAUGUUAAUGACCCAGUGCCGCAGACCACUGUGGACUAGCAGAAGAUCAGCUGAAAGC
This is a long non-coding RNA of Thunnus maccoyii (southern bluefin tuna), 4178 nucleotides long. RefSeq lists it as uncharacterized. The record is from RefSeq and is a predicted model, not a curated record. Lineage: Eukaryota; Metazoa; Chordata; Actinopteri; Scombriformes; Scombridae. The transcript is spliced from 4 exons.